This 433-nucleotide ribosomal RNA is filed under the name uncultured bacterium. RNAcentral's name for it is "partial 16S ribosomal RNA". It matches the Rfam family "Bacterial small subunit ribosomal RNA", at positions 29 to 507 of the family's 1533-position model. The record is from RNAcentral.
AACGAACGCUGGCGGCAGGCCUAACACAUGCAAGUCGAGCGAGCAUUUCGGUGCUAGCGGCGGACGGGUGAGUAACGCGUGGGAACGUGCCCUUUUCUGCGGACUAGUCCUGGGAAACUGGGGGUAAUACCGCAUACGCCCUUUUGGGGAAAGAUUUAUCGGAGAAGGAGCGGCCCGCGUUGGAUUCGGUAGUUGGUGGGGUAAUGGCCCACCACGCCGACGAUCCAUAGAUGGUUUGAGAGGAUGAUCAGCCACACUGGGACUGAGACACGGCCCAGAAUCCUACGGGAGGCAGCAGUGGGGAAUCUUAGACAAUGGGGGCAAUCCUGAUCUAGCCAGGACGGUUGAGCGCUGAAGGUCUUAGGGUUGUAAAGCGCUUUCAGCUGGGAAGAUAAUGACGGUACCAGCAGAAGAAGCCCCGGCUAACUCCGUG